CCGCGGGACUGGGCCUCGUUAACGGUGAUGUUGCGGCCGUCGAGCUCCUUGCCGUUCAUGCCCUCGAUGGCGCUGCGCAUCGCGUCCUCCGUGGAGAAGGUGACGAAGCCGAAGCCGCGGGACCUCUGCGUCUCCCGAUCCAGGAUGAUCUGCGGGGGGAGAAAAGGCAGGUCAGACAGAUCUGGAUGAAACGUGGACGGAUCUGGUGCGAGCGCGCCGAACGGACGAAUGGAACUGAACGGACCUUCGACUCGAGGACCUCGCCGUAGGUGCUGAAGGCGUUGUUGAGGGAGUGGUCGUCGGUGGCCCAGGCGAGGCCGCCAACGAAGCAACGGUACUCAACGUCCGACGCCGCCAUCUCUUCCCUCUCGCCCACGAACCAGAACCUGAACACGAACCGGUGGGGGAGGAGAAGCCAACCCACCUCUGAGAAAGCACGGAGAGGACGAUGCCUCCCCCCGCCGCGCCUUUAAUAGAGGCUGGGGAUCCAGCUGUGGACGGCUUGUUGGGACCCGGAGCAGGUGGCCCCGACUGCGACGAGGCCGAUGGGAAGCGUGGGGGUGGGGCCCAGCAUGGCUGAUCUUUGGCCGCUGCAGCAGCCCGCAAGCCAGGCCAUCGAAAAUAUCUGGCGAUGCGAAAUGCCGAUUCUGCCCUUGGCUGCCAGCAUAUAGGCCCGCGCCGGCUUGGGCGACGACGUGGGUCCACGCAACACAACGAACGGACGAGAUGACGGCACGGAAAGCGAUUCCUCGCAACGGCAUCAUCUUGGCGAUGGUGAUGCCACUCGAGAUGCCAACGGUACUGUGUUUGAAUGCAUAUAAGAGUCCGUUACUAAAAUUAGUUGAGACAAGGAAACACUCUAGCUAAUAAUUUAGUUAUUAGCUAUUUUUAGUAAAUUAGUUAAUAUUUAGAUAAUUAUUUAUUAUCUAUCUAAUUUCACUAAUAAUUUUUAGACAACUAACUAUUAGGUUUAUAGUACAUUUAGACACUCACAUAAUUUACUCGCAUGCAUAUAGAUAAAAACUCUAUAGACCUUAUUUAGAUAUUCUAAUAUUUAAAGGUGUUUGAAUGCACUAGAGCUAAUAGUUAGUAGCUAAAAUUAGCUAAGACAUCCAAACACCCUAUCUAAUAGUUCAAUUAUUAAUUAUUUUUGGUAAAUUAGUUAAUAGUUAGCUAGCUAAUUUCACUAAUAAUUUUUAGUCAAUUAACUAUUAGUUCUAGUGCAUUCAACCACCCCUUAAAACUAAUAGCUAGUUGGCUAAAAAUCAUUAGUGAAAUUAGCUAGCUAAUAAAUAGCUACCUAACUAUUAACUAUUUUACUAAAAAUAGAAAAUAACUGAACUAUUAGCUACGGGGUUUGGAUGUCUCAACUAAUUUUAGCCACUAACUAUUAACUCUAGUGUAUUCAAACACCUCCUUAAUCUAAUUUAUAUAUAUUGAGAUAGGUUAGAGUAAAUAUUAUAGUAUCUAAAUAUAGUUAUAGGGUGUCGGUUUCAUUGUGAGUCUAUAUUCUCAAAUAUAAGUGCAUUUUUUAUUCUUAAUUUGACAAUUUUUCUUGUGGAUACGAAAAGUUUAUAUCUGUGUACCCGCUUACCUACAUUAUAUAUAUAUAUAUAUAUAUAAUAUGUAAUUAUGUGCUCACGGUAUAUCUAUAGGUUUGUGGCACCAUAGGUAGCUGAUACAGGUAACAUAUUAUACUCGUCGUGGGGUAACAAGUGUGGGUUUAUUAUUAACCUUGAGGGUACGGUUUGUAAACUCUAUACCCGUGAGUUUCAACUCGUUGACAUCCCUUAGAUGCCACCAAUCUUUAGAAAGGUUAGGACAAAUGUAACACCUCAAAAUUUUGAUUUUAGGUUUAUUAGUUGUUUUCCAAAAAAAUCAAAUUAAAGUGUCGUGUGAUGAAAGAUUAUAUAUUGAAAGUGACUCUUUCAAAAAAAAUAACAAUAAACAAAUAAAUAGGUGGUAUUAAAAGUUUGGUAGUUCAAAACUUAGAUUUAAACUUUUAAACCUUCAAUUUCAAACUCAAAGAGAAAUAAAAUAGAAAUAUCCUCAACUAUUUAAUUGAUGGAGCUAUUCUUUUAUGAAUUAGGUGUUUAAAAACCUUCCCUAAAAAGGAUUAAAGUAAAAGUACUUCUUAAUAAAGAUUAUACAUUAGAAAGUAUUUUCUCUUAAAACAAAUAAGUAAUAAAUAUUGAACUUUUGAAUGAACUUUUAAAUUGACUACGCAUUCAAAGUAAUAUAUUCUUAAAAUGGAUAAUGUGUGUUGUAUAUUUGAAACAUUUUCCUAAAUAGAUUAAUAAACUAACUAAGGUAAAAUCUUACUCUACAUCAUGUUAAGGUUCAUUGUUUGAUGCAUUUAACUUGUGUUUGAAUUUCAACAUAGAUUUAAAUUUAAAUUGAAAAUAGAAAAUAAAAUAGAAAAUAGAAAAGAAAAGAAAAAACCCUCGCCUGCACAGCCUAUAUCAUCCUCUCGGCCUAACUCCUCUGUUUCCUCCACGUCGGGCCAUUACCUAUGUGAUACCCAGUUUGCAAAGAAGAGAAGUUGGAGUUUAUUCUUUCUUGUUUUUUUUUGCUUCUCGUUUGGGUAGUGCACUUUUGGAGUUUGGAAUUGUUGGGUAGCAUUCGCUAGUAAAACAAUAGAAUUUUGGUUAGACUUGUGCGCCGGGAUCGGGAGUUGACGCGUGAGCGAGUUGGGCCGUGGUUCUUGAUCCGGCCCACUAACCCCCCUAACCCUAGCCGCCCCUUCCCCUAAUUCCCUUCCCCUUGUGCAGCCGCCCCCCCCCUCUCUAGCCUUUGGCCGCCAUCCCCUCCCCCUAAUUCCCUCUCUCUUGUGCAGCAGCCCCCAUCCCCUCAACCCUAGCCGCCACCCCCCCCUCCCAUCUCCUCCUCUCCAAGUGAUGUCCUUCCUCGCCGGAUCUUCUUCGUGUGGGUGCAAGUUCCGAUUGGAGAAUUGGUGGGGGAAGGAAGGAGGAAAGGAGGAACCUAAGGUGAUUUUGUGAUUAACUCUUGUUUAUUUGUGCUGCAAUUCAAUCGAUUAGAUGUUUACGUAUGCGAAUUGGUAGAGGUGCUGUCCAGAAAUUUUGUGGGUGCGCGAACAGCAGUAGUUCUAGCAGAUUCUGGGAAUUUUUCGUGGGUAAUUAGUGGGAAUCAGUGGGAGAAUCAUGUAGAGCUUUUUCAUACCUUUCCAACGAGUACUUAUGUGCUCGAUUCGGAGUUAUAUUUUAGGAGAUAUCGCUGUUUGAAUCCGGGUAUGUUGUUGUCCAAAAAAACAGAUUUUGCAGGUGGGCAAACAGCAGUAGUAUUAGCAGUUUCUGGGGAUUUUUCGUGGGAACUUAGUGAUAAUCAAUAUGAGAAUCAUUUAGAGCUUUGUCAUACCUUUCCAACGAGUACUUAUGCACUCGAUUCGGAGUUAUAUUUUAGGAGAUAUUGCUGUUUGAAUCCGGGUAUGUUGCUGUCAAAAAAAAACAGAUUUAUGCAGGUGGGCGAACAGCAGUAGUAUUAGCAGUUUCUGGGAAUUUUUCGUGGGAAAUUGGUGAUAAUCAAUAUGAGAAUCAUGUAGAGCCUUGUCAUACCUUUCUAACGAGUACUUAUGCGUUCGAUUCGGAGUUAUAAUUUAGGAGAUAUCGCUGUUUGAAUCCGGUUAUGUUGCUGUCCAAAAACAGAUUGCAGGGUGUAUCUUGUAGACGAGUUUGGGCUAAUUAGAUGCUGGAAUUUAAUUAUCAUUUGAAUAUAAAACUUGUGGGAAAUUUUAUGUAGAUGCUUCCGUAGUUUUUGAUUGAUACCACUGCUGUUAUAAUUUUAAAGUUAUGAAAUUAUCAAGCAGCACCGCUGCAGUUUGGUGGUGAUGGGGAGAGUUGUCGCUCGCAACGGGUUGGAAUUGUGCGUAGGUGCGGCGUUGUUUAUUAGCGUUUGUUAUGUUGAUUUGUACACUAAGGUGUGUGUCAAAAACAGGUGGUGGACUUCCGGAUCGUACUUAGUACCAUUCCAAAUUCCCGGUGAAGGCAAGUAAAUACAGUGUUGGUUGCUACCGUUUGGUUUGCAUCCUAUGCCUUGUCAUUGAGUAUGCAUAAGUAUUAAAUGUGUUAAUCAUUGAAUUCUAUGAUGAAGUUUAUUUGUUCGAAAGAAUUAAUUCUCAAUUGUCUAAUAUUGAGGAUGAUCAUGAUUUGGGAAUGAUAUAUGUGGUUGAUUCCCAUCUUGGAUGAAGUUGAAGUAUCUUUUUGAAUCAUGUUGUAUGAAGUGUUGUAGGCAUGUCAUGCACAUCGCAUCAUCCAUAUUGCAUUUUAAAGUUAUGUCGUGAUCUUAUGGUCCGACCGUACCGGUACACUUUUAGCAUCGUACGUUGCCCGAGGAGGGGUACGAUGCGGCUUCAUAUCCUUAGAGGUAUGAAGGCAGAAGUCAUCCUUGCAUUUGCAGACAUUUGCACUCAUGAGGUAUAUAUGAAGUGUGACAUUACUAUGUUACUAUUGUGGUUUCUACCUGCGAGGUGUGGUAACUAGGUGUGUUGUACGUUGUAUUCGUGCUGCACCUUCGUAAUAAGAAGGUUGCGAAAUCAAAUGGUGGUAAAACAAUGUUCUUAUGUGGUUAAACAGUUUGUUAUUAUUUUACUUGCUGAGAUGUGUCAUCUCACUCUUGCAUUACUCAAUGCAGGUACUUGAUAUAUGUUGGGAAUGAGGGGAGUAGCAGCACGUCCACUUUCACUCUCAUAUUAAGGCUGCCCAAGCGCAUCCAUGAUUUAAUUAGAAACUUGAUGUCAAAGGAUGUUUGUUUUUUUACUAGUCAUGCGCACUGGUUAAUUCAGUUCAUGUCGUAUGUUUAACUUUCCUUUGCUAGCCGUUUAAUAAUACUUAGUAUGUUUUUUUUGUCAUGAUACAUGUUUAUACACUGUUGCCCCCUCCUUUAUGCUAUUUUGCAAAGGAGAUGCUGUCGAAAUUUUAUAUACGGAUGUCAGAAGUGUAGUUCAGUAGCAUUCCGGGGUGUUUGUGCAUUCUGGGAUGUUACAGUUGGUAUCAGAGGAUAGGCUUUAGAUUCUACGCAAUUUGAAGAUAAAUUUGACACACUUGCACAUAUAGGAAGGGUAUGAGUUCGUAUAUCUUUCAUAUUAGUAUUUUAUUGUAUAGAUGACUAGAAUUCCCUUACUCCAAAUCCCUUUAUGGUUUGAUGGGAUAUGUCGUUAACGACUUAAUGCUUGAUAUGAUAUGUUACUUCUAUUUAAUAUUGGUUUCUUGAUGUGGUUGUUGCUGAAGUUAUUAUGCAAGUGAAGCUACUAAUGUACUUGUUUUGUAUACAUAUCGUCAUGAUGUUUUUUUAUGCGAUGUUUUUCAAAUCUCUGAGCUAUUACUAUCAUAUAUUUCUAUAUGCUUGACUGUGGAUGUUUUUUUAUGGAUUUCUUUGGGUUUUAGUACUUGUAGGACCGAUUGUUUAUUGAGUUUGUGUAUAGUGGGUCUAAUCCGGCUUGGUGUGGUGUGAAAACACGAUAUAAUGUAGUUUUAUCAUGUGGUUGAGUCUGAUUGAAUGUUGGGUUACAACCCAACUUAUCAAUGUAAUAUUUCCAUGGAUUCAAUGCUUUGUGCCUCACCCCUUUGGGCUAAUAUGGCUACUUGCCAACUUGAUCUUAGAGUACAAGAGGUUUGUCUCCAUAGAGCAAAGGCAAUGUUGUAAUGUUUAUGAAACCUUGAGACUGGUAGAACUCAAGUGAAUUUGUAAGAUGACGUGGAUAGAUAAGUUCAACCAUGUUUACAUGAUAGGUUUUCUUAUUGUGUGCAACCUUAGCAAUAAAUAGGGUGAUUUCAAGUGGAUUUUAUGUCUAUAUUAUAGUUGAAGAGGCAUGCAUGUUUUCCUUCCAUGGUUUGUUUCUAUAGCCAUGAAGGUUAUGCAUAUUUUUUUAGUUGUUGGAGGCUAGUCAUGUGGACGAUAUGGACAACCCAUUUUAUAUAUAUUUGUAAUCGCCGAUGAUAUAUGGUAGUUUUAUUUUUUUUGAUCUGUUCUCUAUGCAUGCUUGUUGAAUUAUUAUUUGGACCGCUUUAUCUUAAACAAAGUCAAUGCUUAACUGGAAGUUGCUUAUGUUUGUUAGUCAUCUAUCUCUAUAAUGAUGUGGUUGUUGCAUCAGAUGGAGAUUUUUUUCAUAUGAAUGAUGGUUUGAUAGAUCAUGUAUGUCUACUACUUUGAAUUCAUCCUAUGACAUCACGAGGUAGAAAUUGUUCAAGUGCAAUAAUAGGAGGUAUUGUUGUAUGUGAGGUUAAUCAAGGUAGUUUGAUUAGGUGGAUUGUCUUAUUGAAGUCCAAUUACUCCUGUUGAGCAUAGUAACGUGUUAUUGUUUUAGUGUUGAAAGUAAUAUUUAUGAAGCUUUUGCAUGAGUCUGUAUCAAGAAGAUCAUUAGUUUUUCUUGUUGUUAUCCCUCCAUUGCUUUAUGAGUGUUGCACAUUUUAUCUCUUUUGAGAGGAGAAAAAAAAGAUGUUAUAUGUCAUGAGCACCAUUUGCUUCACGUCAACAAAAUAGUUUUGGAGAUUUCUAUUAGUUGGAUUCUAGUGUAAUAACAACCAUGUUUUAUAGUGCUUGAGAUGGGUAUGUCAGGUGUUCCAUACAUUGUCGAUACAUGGAUGUUUGACCUUAGUGGCGUUAACAAACGAGGAUGUUGAAUUUGUUGAUUGUUGUGCUUAGUGUUCUAACCUAUUUGGUAGAGUUUUAUUUAAAGACUUUGUGGAGUUGCAUCCCAAUUUGGUAGUGGAAAAUCCUAGUGUUGAUUGCACCUGCCAGUGCCUUGGGUUUCAUUUUAUAUUGUUUUUUUAUUGUUGUUAAUGUGUUGUUUGGUUUUGGGAGGCAUUUUAAAUUAGUUGGAUGCUGAAUCAGGCUUCACUUGUCUAGAAUGUUUUGUAGUAUGUUUUUUCAUCUUUCCAUAGGAUGCUUAAUCACCCGGUUUGGUCCAAACAUUUGAGAGUUAUGGGUUUCCUAAAACAUCCUUAUUGGUGUCUGUGGCAGAAUGAGUCUUUAAUUUUGAACGGAAGAGUAGACAUUGAAGACAAUAUAAUUUGGUCUUUGUUGGAUUAUGAAAGUUUUAGCAAUUUUAUGAUCUUUCCAACGAGUAUUGGUUUGUAAUUCUCAUUGCAUAUAAUUGGAGUUAGGUUGCUCUGAAGUUGUUGCACCGUUGUGUCUGAACUUUAGUUGUCGUUAUAACCACCAAUAAAUCGACCACGUUUUGAUAGUUUCAUAGCCCAAAGUUGGGAAUUCUCUUUAAGCAAAACUUUUAGUUCUUCUCAGUACCUUUUAAAUGGGCAUUUACUUGUAAUUGUCUGUUAAAUAGAUUGGGAGAGGUGGUUGUCCGAUUAUAAGUCGAAUCUCUAAUGUGCAGUAUCUCAGGCUGAGUUUAGCUGUAGGUCAUGCAUAGUUGAGGGCUAUAAAGAUAAAUUUGGGUGCAACUUUAUUGCAAAAGUCGUGGACAAUUUUCAAAACUUUUCCAACGCGUGUUCGUUGUAGUUUAAGUUGAGUAUAGCAGGAGUUAUAGGUUUUUGAAUUUUAGUUGUCCAUUGUUUCAAUCCUAUCAGUUUUGCAACAAAAGUGUUGCAUUGUUUUAUCGGUUUGGAAACCAAAUUCGAGACACUCAUUAUAAUAAAAGUUUUAGGGAAUGUUAUAAUCUUUUCAAUGAGUUUAUAUUUGCAAAAUUUUGUUAGCUGUAGGGAGUUAUGAUAUAGUGUAUAGUUUGUGCUUGGAUAAAUAUGUGGGCAGGCAUAACAUGCUUAAAUUGAUUCUUGUUUGCAUGAUGUGAGAUUAGGCUUAAAUGAUUUAAAAAGUUAUCAUAUUGCUUCUAUACUUAUAUUUGUUCUAAGUGUCUCGUAAUAAAGAACCUAAAGUUAUUAGUCUUUCGAUGAACGCUUUAUCUUAGAAGAGUAAUGAACCUCAUAAAAUCUAUUGCUUGUUGUUGGGACUGCAUGACCAGUUUUAGUUAUGCAGCUAGUUCAAUGAAGUAAACCAUCUUUUCUGUAGAGAUGUUAUAUAUAAAAGUUGUAGCCAACUUCUUUAUCUUAUUUGUGUAAAAUUUUCAUGACCAUAGGUCUAGUAGUUUGGGAGUUAUGAUUUUCUCAAGUCCAGUCUUGGAAUCUGUCCAGAUUUUGUACAGACUUCGAAACUGACCUCGUUUGCCCAAUUUAAACUUCGAAUAAGUUCUUAUAAAUUAUAAAUAAGUUGUAGUACUUUUCUUAAUCUUUUCAACAAAUUUUGGAUCACCUUUUUUUGGAGAUCUAUAAGUUAAGUUACGACUGUUUUAAGUGUGAUCUUUGAAUCUGUCCAAAUUUGGACAGCAGAGCCUUUCUUAUGUCUUUUGACCUUGAUAUGCAUUGAAUUAACAUGAUAUGUUAUAAAUGAAUUAUAGACAAUUCUAUUAGAUUUCUAAAAAGUCUAGGAGCACCUGAAUUGGAUGACUGAGACUCCAAUUAGGGAUUUUUUUGAAUUGAGUAGUUGAAUUCUAUCCAAGUCUGGACAGAAUUUACGUUUAGCAUUGUUUGACCUUUCUAUGUGUCAAAUCUUGUUGUGAUGAUAAUAGCAAGGGUAUAGUGGACUUUAUAAGAUUUCCAUAAAGUCCUAGUCUACUAUUUUGGAUGCAUAUUUUGUGAGUUAUGAGCAAAACAAUUAACCGCUGUGCUGCUGUCCAGAAAUAUGCAAGCAUUAAGUUGCUCUCUUGAAGUUGCUCUUGUUUGGCUAAGUUUGGUUUAGGCUAUAGGAACACUAUAUGCAUUGCAUUCAUAUAUACAUUCCUUGAAGUACUUGCAUAUGUCAAUGUUGAUUUGGUGUCAGGAAAGCUUUGUCCGAGAUAUAUAGGACUGUCUACUAUCUUAGCCGAGUUGGCAGCUGGGCUUAGCACAUACAAUUGUCGGGAUCUAUAAUCAUAGUACACCAUGUAUUCCAUGUCUUUAUGUUGAGGAAGUAUUUGAGGAAUCCAGAGCAUCAAAUCGAGCUAGAGUCGAUUCCCUGUGUAGCAAGACCAGACUCUAGAGUGUCGUCUGCUGCGUAUCUUAGAAUCCUAGGAGCUUGAGGAGCUGAUGUGGCAGAAGUACCCGAACUUUUCAUUAUGUGUGAGUUUUGUUGAUUCAUUAAUCUUGCUUUUGUCGUUCCGAUAAAAGCGUCAGAAUUCGAGGUCGAAUUCUUUUUAAGGGGGGUAGAGUGUGAUACCCAGUUUGCAAAGAAGAGAAGUUGGAGUUUAUUCUUUCUUGUUUUUUUUGCUUCUCGUUUGGGUAGUGCACUUUUGGAGUUUGGAAUUGUUGGGUAGCAUUCGCUAGUAAAACAAUAGAAUUUUGGUUAGACUUGUGCGCCGGGAUCGGGAGUUGACGCGUGAGCGAGUUGGGCCGUGGUUCUUGAUCCGGCCCACUAACCCCCCUAACCCUAGCCGCCCCUUCCCCUAAUUCCCUUCCCCUUGUGCAGCCGCCCCCCCCUCUCUAGCCUUUGGCCGCCAUCCCCUCCCCCUAAUUCCCUCUCUCUUGUGCAGCAGCCCCCAUCCCCUCAACCCUAGCCGCCACCCCCCCUCCCAUCUCCUCCUCUCCAAGUGAUGUCCUUCCUCGCCGGAUCUUCUUCGUGUGGGUGCAAGUUCCGAUUGGAGAAUUGGUGGGAGGAAGGAAGGAGGAAAGGAGGAACCUAAGGUGAUUUUGUGAUUAACUCUUGUUUAUUUGUGCUGCAAUUCAAUCGAUUAGAUGUUUACGUAUGCGAAUUGGUAGAGGUGCUGUCCAGAAAUUUUGUGGGUGCGCGAACAGCAGUAGUUCUAGCAGAUUCUGGGAAUUUUUCGUGGGUAAUUAGUGGUAAUCAGUGGGAGAAUCAUGUAGAGCUUUUUCAUACCUUUCCAACGAGUACUUAUGUGCUCGAUUCGGAGUUAUAUUUUAGGAGAUAUCGCUGUUUGAAUCCGGGUAUGUUGCUGUCCAAAAAAACAGAUUUUGCAGGUGGGCAAACAACAGUAGUAUUAGCAGUUUCUGGGGAUUUUUCGUGGGAACUUAGUGAUAAUCAAUAUGAGAAUCAUUUAGAGCUUUGUCAUACCUUUCCAACGAGUACUUAUGCACUCGAUUCGGAGUUAUAUUUUAGGAGAUAUUGCUGUUUGAAUCCGGGUAUGUUGCUGUCAAAAAAAACAGAUUUAUGCAGGUGGGCGAACAGCAGUAGUAUUAGCAGUUUCUGGGAAUUUUUCGUGGGAAAUUGGUGAUAAUCAAUAUGAGAAUCAUGUAGAGCCUUGUCAUACCUUUCUAACGAGUACUUAUGCGUUCGAUUCGGAGUUAUAAUUUAGGAGAUAUCGCUGUUUGAAUCCGGUUAUGUUGCUGUCCAAAAACAGAUUGCAGGGUGUAUCUUGUAGACGAGUUUGGGCUAAUUAGAUGCUGGGAUUUAAUUAUCAUUUGAAUAUAAAACUUGUGGGAAAUUUUAUGUAGAUGCUUCCGUAGUUUUUGAUUGAUACCACUGCUGUUAUAAUUUUAAAGUUAUGAAAUUAUCAAGCAGCACCGCUGCAGUUUGGUGGUGAUGGGGAGAGUUGUCGCUCGCAACGGGUUGGAAUUGUGCGUAGGUGCGGCGUUGUUUAUUAGCGUUUGUUAUGUUGAUUUGUACACUAAGGUGUGUGUCAAAAACAGGUGGUGGACUUCCGGAUCGUACUUAGUACCAUUCCAAAUUCCCGGUGAAGGCAAGUAAAUACAGUGUUGGUUGCUACCGUUUGGUUUGCAUCCUAUGCCUUGUCAUUGAGUAUGCAUAAGUAUUAAAUGUGUUAAUCAUUGAAUUCUAUGAUGAAGUUUAUUUGUUCGAAAGAAUUAAUUCUCAAUUGUCUAAUAUUGAGGAUGAUCAUGAUUUGGGAAUGAUAUAUGUGGUUGAUUCCCAUCUUGGAUGAAGUUGAAGUAUCUUUUUGAAUCAUGUUGUAUGAAGUGUUGUAGGCAUGUCAUGCACAUCGCAUCAUCCAUAUUGCAUUUUGAAGUUAUGUCGUGAUCUUAUGGUCCGACCGUACCGGUACACUUUUAGCAUCGUACGUUGCCCGAGGAGGGGUACGAUGCGGCUUCAUAUCCUUAGAGGUAUGAAGGCAGAAGUCAUCCUUGCAUUUGCAGACAUUUGCACUCAUGAGGUAUAUAUGAAGUGUGACAUUACUAUGUUACUAUUGUGGUUUCUACCUGCGAGGUGUGGUAACUAGGUGUGUUGUACGUUGUAUUCGUGCUGCACCUUCGUAAUAAGAAGGUUGCGAAAUCAAAUGGUGGUAAAACAAUGUUCUUAUGUGGUUAAACAGUUUGUUAUUAUUUUACUUGCUGAGAUGUGUCAUCUCACUCUUGCAUUACUCAAUGCAGGUACUUGAUAUAUGUUGGGAAUGAGGGGAGUAGCAGCACGUCCACUUUCACUCUCAUAUUAAGGCUGCCCAAGCGCAUCCAUGAUUUAAUUAGAAACUUGAUGUCAAAGGAUGUUUGUUUUUUUACUAGUCAUGCGCACUGGUUAAUUCAGUUCAUGUCGUAUGUUUAACUUUCCUUUGCUAGCCGUUUAAUAAUACUUAGUAUGUUUUUUUUGUCAUGAUACAUGUUUAUACACUGUUGCCCCCUCCUUUAUGCUAUUUUGCAAAGGAGAUGCUGUCGAAAUUUUAUAUACGGAUAUCAGAAGUGUAGUUCAGUAGCAUUCCGGGGUGUUUGUGGAUUCUGGGAUGUUACAACCUACCUGUAACACUCUGAAUUUGGGGGUAUAGAACUUCUUUCUAAAUAUCUACUAAAUUCAAGUAUUACCUCUUGUCUCUCUCUUUAGUCUCUCUCACUCUUUCUUUUGAUUAGAAUUAAGUUAAAUAGGAGAGGGAUUAAUUAUUUAUUUUAUCAAAACAAUAUGAGUCAUGAAUGUUGCAUCAUGCUGAGCCUAAAUUAUUCUUUUGUUUGAUGCACAUGUUUGAAAUGGUUUGAAUUUGUAUUUGAUUUGAAUUUGGUUUGAAAACCCUAGAGUAAAUAAAAUAGAAAAGCAAUUGGAAAUUCCAUAAAAUAGAAAAUCCCAUUUCGGCCCAGCUAGCCCAAGCCGCGCCCGCGCACCAGCCCUCCCUAACAGUAGUUGGCUUCGUCGUAGGGCCGUCAAUGGGGUCCAGGCACAGUACUUGCUAUGCCGAGGCUGGUUGCAGAGGUUCUUGAUUUGGUUUUGUUAGUCACCCUUCCUGUGGGGAGAAGUAUUGUGUUUAUCAAACCGGAGAAACCUAACUGACGGCUAUGACCUCUGGGGAAUCUUUGUAAAGGCUACGUAGUGAGACCCUGCUAGAUCACCUUGGUAGUGAUCAAUGGAGAGUCAUGAUCUCCGGGUAGAAUGGGAAUCAUGACUUGUGGGUAAAGUGUGUGACCUCCGCAGAGUGUUAGAAAUUGGUAUAUCGGUCGUGCUCACGGUUAAGAGUGGCCUUGGGAUUCUCUUUGAUUAGAAGAACUUUGGAUACCCUUAUGGUGAUGUUUAAUGAUGAUGGUUAUAACUAUGAUCUCUUGUGUUUCCUCUUGGAGGGAGUACAUUUGGGUAAUAACUGGGUUUAUUACUAAAAUUUGGCUCUACUAAUAGUAACAAAUACUUGACCAACUAAAAGCAACCGCUUAACCUUAACUCCACAUACAGCUAGUCCACUUUAGCCAAACGGGACAUUUGCUUAGUACGUUGAUGUGUACUCACCCUUACUUUAAAAACCACCCCACCAUAGGUUGUCCCCAUUGUAUUCAAUGCUCAGGAGGAGAUGCUAGCAACAUGGAUAUUUCCUUUACGGUGAUGUGGUAAGUUGUUUAUGGCUUAAUGCUUGAUAUAAUUUAUUUCUGAAAUUUUGAUAUUGUUUUAUUAAUGCGGUAGAUAUCGCUGGUCAUUGGUGAGAAUGAAGUUGUUAUUAUGCUUGUGAUAUACAAGUAUGCCUAUGUUGUUUUCACCAUGUUUUUCAUGGUUGAGUUUUAUUACAAUAAUAUUGUUAUAUAUGCUUGAUUGUGGAUGUUUCUAAGAGGAGUGUGAAUUGCGUGUUUUGGGGUACAAGGUAAUCAUCAAUUUGAAUUUAAGUUGUUGAGCGGUUGGUGGAUAGCUCCAACUAUCAUUUCAAAGAAUGAUUGUUUAUGUUGAGAAACCAGUUUUGAAAGAAAUGAAUAUUGGUACUUUAUAUGGAUUUUUGGGGGAAGUCUUUUCAUAGCCAGAAUGGCUUACAUGUCUCUCUCAUAUUGUGUGUUUUAGUUGCCACAAAGCCUAGAUGUGGUUUAAAGUGGUUGCCUGUUAGUCAUACUAAUUGUAGAAUAAAUCUUUGAUUCUCUUGAUCCAUUGAUUAUGUAUUGAUACAUUGAGGAUCUGAUGGUUCCCUUUUCGAUGCAUGCUUGUGGAGCCAUUUUUUUAGACCACCUAUCUAUUGGUUUGAAGGAAGUCCUUGCCUAGCCUAGAGUUGGUUGGGUGUGGCUAGUCACCUAUUCCUAGAUCAUGUGGUGUUUACAUCAGCUUAAUAUGUUUGUCAAAUGUGUGAAGGAUUAGGGGUUAUUAUUAUUGACUUUGUAUGUCUGGUACUUUGAGUGCAUCGUAUGAUAGAAUGAAAUGUAAGUUUCUGAACUACAGUAGAUGAAGACUUAUAUUAUGUGUAGGUUAUCCUUACUAGUUGGAUAUUUUUCUUAGUUGAGAUGUUGAAUGAAGUAUAGUGACAUGGGUUAAGCAAGUAUUGUGUUGUUGUUGGGCUAUCAGUGCUCUAUGUAGAGUUUUUGGCAUUUCUUCGAUGAACUAUGCUGCACAAGAUGUUAUUGGCUUCUUUUGGCUUUAUUGCUCCAUUAGUUCUAUAGAUUUUCUCCCUUUUGGUGGGGUGCAAGGAAUGUUAGAUUACAUGAUUAUCUUUUCAUGAUGGCAAGAAUAAGGUUUAGGAAGAUUAGGAGUUUUGUUCCAAUAGAACUACUUGUUUCAUAGUGCUUUAAGGUGAGGUGUUUGAUCUUCUUAUACAUUCGUCGGGUGUAGAUGUUUCACCAUUUAAUUAAAAUUAAUGGUUGAAGUUGGUAAGGGUUGUGCUUGGUGCAUAUUACCCCUUCAUAAAAGAGUGUUGUCUUAAGACAUUGAUGUUGAUGUAUAGCUGCAUCCAAAUUUGAUGGUGUGAAAUUGGAGUGUUGAUUGCAACUAUGACAUGCUUUGAGCUUCAUUACAUGUUGUUUCAUGCUUGAUGUCAGGUCGUGUAGUUUCCUUAGACAAUUAGUCCAAGGUAGAAGUUCUUGUGUUAAUUAAGACCAAUAAUGGACCCAUGUUUUGAAUUGUGGUGCUAUAUGGGGUACCUUGGGUGUUUUGCUUGGAGUGGCCGAAUUCGAGGUCGAAUUCUUUUUAAGGGGGGUAGAGUGUAAUAUCCCAAAAAAAAUGUUGACCAAAAGUUAAUCUCUGGUGCGUGGAUGAGGUAAAGGGUUGUGGGCCAUUGGAUGCAAAGAUAGAAGUCAUCUGAGGCGUCGUUUCUUUCUCCCACAAAAACCCUAGGUGGCCACCCCUUUUUUUUUCCCUUCACCCCCCCUCUUGGCCGCCACCCCCUUUUUCUCCCCCUUGGCUGGACGCCCCCUCCCCCUAUGGCAGCCAUCCUCUAUUGCUUCCUCCCCCAAGAUCUCCCCCUACGCAGCAAGGAUCGAGAAAAGGAGGGGCACGUUGAAUUGAAGAGGAAGAGAGGAUCAAGGAGAUGUUCUUCCCCAUCUCCUCUUGAAGAUUUCUUGGGGAAACCCUAGGUAUGGAUGAGAUCCUUGUUCCUCCCUGUAAUUAUAGGCUUUUGGAGGUUGUGGAUCAUGGGAAUUAAAGGAUUAGAGGUUGGAUUUGAUGUGGGGUUAGAUUUUGAUCUCGAAUUUAGUUUUCUGCAGAAUGGCAGAUUCGACAGUUUCUGUUCAUGCCAGUUUUCCGUGGUCUUAGUGGCCUCAAAAAAAUAAAAAGUCUAUGUAUGAGUCGUAGAUAAUUUGUAGAUCUUUCCGUGGCCGCGAAGAACACCUCAAUCGGACAUCCGACCAGAAAGUUAUUGCAGUUUUACUAUAGCAGUUUUUCAGUCUCAUAAUUCUGUGCAGAAUCUGUUCUCUUAAGAUUUAGGCAAUUUUAUCAACAGAAUUAAACUGUGGGUUGGUAAAAGAAGUUGUAGAUAAUUUUAUAAGCUUUCCAGAUUGUUAAAGAGUGCAUUCAUAUGAUUUGUGAAACUCCAGUUAUGUUUGUUUUACUGUGGCUGUUCCUGUUUACCUGACAAAAAUGAGUGGGUCUGUUCACUGGUGGGUUUCAUCUAGUAAAUGACCGAAUUGGCUCUUCCAACUAUGGAGACUUUUGUAGAGGGAUAAAAGUUCUUACUUCCAGCGGAAUUUCAUAAUUUUUGGUUCAGCAGUUUUGGAGAUAUCGAAUUUUAAAGUUAACCAUACUGCUGUCUAAAACAGAUUCAGUCAGUUAUCUUAUCAGAUGUUUUAGAACUUGUAGAUGGCAGAAUUUAAUUAUCUAUUGAAUACUGAAGUUGUAGAGUAUUUUGUGUAGAUACUCCUAGAGUAUUUGUUUGAUAUCACCGCUGUUUUAAUUUUAAAGAUACAAAAUUAACAAACAGCGUUACUGCUGUAUGGCAUGUGGUUCAGGGUGGGAGUCUUUCCACUGGGUCUUGGUUUCAAGUGUAGGAGUGUUUUGUUGAUUGAUGGCAAAUGUUUGUGAAAUAUUUGUACUAAGUUUUAUGCCCACUAGCAGGUGGCUACACUCCAGAUCAUGUCUAGUACAUUUCUUCUUCUUCAAUGAAGGCAAGUGAAUGUAGCGGUGGUUGCUUCCGUUCUGACCUGUUAUUUCUAUCGCCUACACUCUAAUAUUCAGAAGUAUCAGAUUCUUUCAUAAUUGGACUCUAUGGUGAUGCUUUACUUGCUUGCAUUAUACUGAUGCUCAAUCAUAUAUUGAUGAUGAUUAUGAUUUGAGUAUGACUCAUGAGAUUAAUUCACACCCCUGAAGGUAAAUGAAGUAUUAUUUGAGGUUGGUAUUGUAUCUGAAGGUAAAUGAAGUAUUAUUUGAGGUUUGUGUUGUAUCUGAAGGAAGUGAAGUUUAUUGAUAAAUGUAGCAUGCCAUAUACAUUGCAUGACUCAUUUGCGUAUGAAGUUUUGUCGUGACCUAUGGUCCGACCGUACCGGUACAACUUAGCAUCGUACGUUGCCCGAGAAGGGGUACGAUGCGGCUUCAUACCCUUAGAGGUAUGAAGGCAGAGGACAUAUGCAUUGCAUUCAUAUGCAUUCAUUGAAGUGAUAUUUGCAGAUGAUGUGGUUUUAUACCCCCAGAGGUAUGAAGAUAGAGUACCUACACAUUGCAUUCCUAUGCAUACAUUGAAGUGAUAUUUGCAGGUAUUGUUGACGCAGGGAAGUGUUAUAGAACCUAUUGUGGUUGUUCGAGGAAAUGAGAUGAUAUUGGUUAUAGUGGGACUACUGAGUUCUAUAUCUACAAGCAUUUCUGAUUUUUAAUUGUGACUCUUUUAAAAUGUUGAUGAAUCAAUUUGUGGUUUAAAUAUCUCGUCAGAACAAUUAGCUUGCUGAGAUGUUUCAUCUCACUCUUGCAUUACUCAAUGCAGGUGCUUGUUGCUCAUCAAGGGGAGUGGGAAGUAGCAGCACAUCCACCUUCAUUCUCAUAAUAAUGCUGCCCAGACGCAGCCAUGAUUUAAUUAGAAACUUCUUGUCAAAGGAUGUUUGUUUUUAACUAGUCGUGCGCACUGAUUAAUUCAGUUCAUGUUGUUAUGGUUGUCUUCCCAUUGCUAGCAGAUUAUUAAUGUCUUAUAUGUUUUCUUAUCAUGAUAUCUAUUUAUACUUUGUUGCUUCCCCCAUUUAUGCAAUUCAUAAAAGAGAUGCUGUCGAAAUUUUAUAUAUGAAUAUUAGAUGUGUAGUUUAGUAGCAUUCUGGGGUGUUUGUGGAUCCCGGGGUGUUACAGUAAUCGCUAUGUACGUGAGUUUCUAAUCCUGGCACGUACAUGGUUCGCAUAUGGUUUGCCUUCCAAAACCAGGUGUGACAUAAGUGGUAUCAAAGCAUUGCUGACUGUAGGACCGCUAACCAAGACUAGAAUGGUCUCCCUAAGGACUAUAGACCUCUACUCUUACCUUACCUUUAGUUUCAUUUAAAAAGUUGGUCAUCUUGACCAAUUCUAUGUUAUUACUCAUCCUACAAAAUUUUCAUCUCACUUUGCUUUCUGUUUACUUGUUGGUCAUGUAGUUCUACUCUCACUCUUGUGCUUACGAUGUAUUUUGUAGAUAGCCCGUAUUAGAUGUACUGUACGUAAGUCAGUGAUCCCCUUUUGCCGUCUCGCUUGGCGGAGUGCCCACUGUGCCGCACGGUGACAGGUCAGUCUAGUCAUAUGGAGAGACUGCAUUGUCGCCUACAUGAGGAGUAGGAGCGCCGAUGUCAGGAGCAGGAGCAGCAGGACUCUUCCCCCUCGCCUCAGCAGGAGGUGGAGUCUGGGAGGCAGUCUUCCCCUGCACCACCAUAGGGCAUCCUGGCUGCUGGAGGAGACCCUGAAGGAGACGAUGACGACGACGCCGGUGGCAGUUUGAGCCACAUCACGGAGCUCUCGGAGGAGCAGGAGCUAGAGGGAUGGAUUGCUAGACCCAUUACCCGCGACGCCGCUCGCGGGUGUCACUUCCAUGACGCUCUCGACACCUUGCUACGUCGGGCCUUCGACCGACACACUUGGUCUAUUGAGUACCGUUGUGUAGUCUACCAGCAUCAUCGUGGGUUAUACCCAGACCAGUGGGAGGCUACUUGCUUGGUGCGUCGUUCAGACGAUGAUCUCCGGGGUGCAGAGGCCUUCUCAGAGCAUUACUCUAUCACUGAGAGGGAUACGGUCGAGGCAGCCAUGCAAGAUGAUGCAUGACGUGCACUUUCACAGUAUUGCUCGUUGUUCAGUGGGGUAGCUGAUGGCCUCGACCUGAAGUACUACCCUCCCCGUUCGACCGGCAGUGCUGGAGGUGUGAUUGUCUUGCCCUUUGGUGAGGGCAAUCCCAGGCUGAACAGCAUGGUCAACCUGGUCGCCGUGCUCAACACCGAGCUGGACCACGCCCUUGACGAGUUGGGCAAGGUUUGGGUGGAGGUUGCGGAAUUGCGUGCUGAGCGCGCAGCGCGUCGCUAUCAGGAUGGUGGUUCUCCCGCUCCUGUCGGGAUUCAGCACCCUUACCGCUCGCCGCCCCGUGGUCGCUUUGAUUAUGACACCCCUGACUGUAGGACUUAGAUAGAUUUUGAGCCAUAGAUCGACAGAGUCGGAGUCUGUAAUAAUGCUUAAUCCAGUGUCUUGGUUUUAGCCAGUCUUAGUUAGUGUUAGUUUGUGAAAGGGAAAUAGGCUUACACAUUUUCCUAAUUGAUUUUGGUGGUUGAAUUGCCCAACACAAAUAAUUGGACUAACUAGUUUGCUCUAGAUUAUAAGUUUUAUAGGUGCCAAAGGUUCACAACAAACCAAUAAAAAGACCAAGAAAGGGUUCAAACAAAGAGAGCAAAAGACUACCGAAGUGUGCCCUGGUCUGGCGCACCGGACUGUUUGGUGUGCCACCGGACAGUGUCUGGUGCACCAGGGAAUUCCAGUCUAAACUUGCCACCUUCGGGAAUUCUGGGAGGCACUCUGCUAUAAUUCACCGGACUGUCCGGUGUAGCACCAGACUGUCCGGUGUGCCAGCGGAGUAACGGCUUCACAGCGCCAAUGGUCAUCUGCAACGAGCAGUUAAUGCGCUACAGUGCGCGCAGAAGUCAGAGCAGAUCCAGAAGGCGCACCGGACAGUGAACAGUGACUGUCUGGUGCACCACCGGACUGUCCGGUGGCCCAGCUAUCAGAAGCUCCAACGGUCAGAACCCAACGGCCGAGUGAUGUGGCUGGCGCACCGGACAAUGUCCGGUGGCGCACCGGACUGUCCGGUGCGCCAUGCGACAGCAGCCUCCACCAACGGCUCCUUUGGUGGUUGGGGCUAUAAAUACCCCCAACCACCCACCAUUCAUUGCAUCCAAGUUGUCAGCCUUCACACUUCAUACAAGAGCUAUAGCAUUCAAUAUAAGACACAAACAAGAGAUCAAAUCCUCUCCCAAGUCCAAAGACAAUUUCAAUCAAAUAGUGACUAGUGAGAGAGAGAUACUUGUGUUCAUUUGAGCUCUUGCACUUGGAUUGCUUUUCUUCUUCCUUCAUUCUUGUGUUCAAUUCACUUAUAUUCAAAACAAGAGACACCAAGUUGUGGUGGUCCUUGUAGUGGACUUAGUGUCCCAUUUGAUUGAAGAGAAAGGCUCACUCGGUCUUGGUGACCAUUUGAGAGAGGGAAAGGGUUGAAAGAGACCCGGUCUUUGUGACCACCUCAAUGGGGAGUAGGUUUGCAAGAACCAAACCUCGGUAAAACAAAUCACCGUGUCAUCCGCUCUUAUUCGCUUGUGAUUUGUUUUCACCCUCUCUUUUGGACUCGCAUUUAAUUCUAACGCUAACCCGGCUUGUAGUGUGUGCUUAAGUUUAUAAAUUUCAGAUUUGCCUAUUCACCCCCCCUCUAGGCGACUUUCAAUUGGUAUCGGAGCCCGGUACUUCAUUAGAGCCUAACCGCUCAAAGUGAUGUCAGGAGACCACGCCAAGAAGGAGAUGGUGACCGGCGAGAAGCCCGCCACAAGCCAUGGGCAGGCUCCAUCCGGGGAGUCCGGCAACAAGGUGAAGGGAUCCCCUUCAUACGACAAGUCACGUCGGAGCGGCGAGAAGAAAAAGAAGAUGAAGAAAGUGGUCUACUAUGAGACCGACUCUUCAUCGCCAUCCACCUCCCGCUUCGACACGCCGUCCGUAACUUCUAAGCGCCAUGAGCGCAAGAAGUUUAGUAAGAUUCCCCUACGCUAUCCUCACAUUUCCAAACGUACUCCUUUACUUUCUGUCCCAUUAGGCAAACCACCCAUGUUUGAUGGUGAAGAUUAUAAUAUGUGGAGUGACAAAAUGAGGCACCAUCUAACCUCACUCCACACUAGUAUUUGAGAUGUUGUUGAGAUUGGAGUAUAGGUACCAUCACCGGGGGAUGAAAACUAUGACUCGGACGAAGUUGCCCAAAUUCGGCACUUCAACUCCCAAGCCACCACUAUACUCCUCGCCUCUCUAAGUCGAGAGGAGUAUAACAAGGUGCAAGGGUUGAAGAGCGCCAAGGAGAUUUGGGAUGUGCUCAAAACCGCGCACGGAGACAAGGUGAUCAAGUUCACCAAGAGGGAAACGAUCGAGGGGGAGCUCAGUCGCUUCAUGCUUCACCAAGGGGAGGAGCCACAAGCAAUGUACAACCGGCUCAAGACAUUGGUGAACCAAGUGCACAACCUCGAGAGCACCAAAUGGGAUGACCAUGAAAUGGUCAAGGUUAUUCUUAGAUCACUCGUAUUUCUUAACCCUACUCAAGUUCAAUUAAUUCGUGGUGAUCCAAGAUAUAAACUAAUGUCUCCCGAGGAAGUAAUAGGAAAAUUUGUGAGCUUUGAAUUGAUGAUCAAAGGCUCCAAGAAAAUCAUCGAGCAAGGCGCCACCUCAUCAUCCGAGGUGCAACCCGUCGCAUUCAUGGCAACGGAAGAAGAAAAGAAAGACUCUACACCUAGUAGGGUCCCCAUCGACGCCUCCAAGCUCGACAAUGAGGAGAUGGCGCUCAUCAUCAAGAGCUUUCGCCAAAUCCUCAAGCAAAGGAGGGGGAAAGACUACAAGUCCCGCUCCAAGAAGGUUUGCUACAAAUGUGGUAAGCCCGGUCAUUUUAUCGCUAAAUGCCCUUUGUCUAGUGAUAGUGACAGGGAUAACGACAAGAAGGGAAAUAGGAGAGAAAAGAAGAGGUACUACAAGAAGAAGGGCGGCGAUGCCCAUGUUUGCCGGGAGUGGGACUCCGACGAGAGCUCCACUGACUCCUCCUCCGACAAGGACGCCACCAACAUCGCCGUCACCAAAGGACUCCUCUUCCCCAACAUCGGCCACAAGUGCCUCAUGGAAAAGGACGGCAAAAGGAAGAAGGUAAAAUCUAGAGCUUCCACUAAAUAUGCAACUUCUAGUGAUGAGGCUAGCUCUAGUGAUGAUGAGGAUAAUUUGCUCACCCUUUUUGCCAACUUGAACAUGCAACAAAAAGAAAAAUUAAAUGAGUUGAUUAGUGCUAUUCAUGAAAAGGAUGAACUCUUGGAUAGCCAAGAGGACUUCCUAAUUAAGGAAAACAAAAAGCAUGUUAAAGUUAAAAAUGCUUAUGCUCUAGAGGUUGAAAAAUGCGAAAAAUUAACUAGUGAGCUAAGCACUUGUCGUGAUGUUAUUUUCAACCUUAGAGAUGAAAAUGCUAAAUUAAUUGCUAAGGUUGAGAAAUUAGAUAUUUGUGAUGAUUCAAUUGUUAGCCUUAGAAAUGAUAAUGCUAGUUUGACUACUAAGAUUGACAAUUUGAAUGCAUCGCUUUCUAGCCUUAAAUUUGAGAAUGAUAAAUUAAUUGCUAAGGCUAAGGAAUUAGAUGUUUGCAAUGUUUCUAUUUCCAAUCUUAGAGAUGAAAAUGACACUUUACAUGCUAAGAUUGUUGAACUAAAUUCUUGCAAACCCUCUACAUCCACCGUUGAGCAUGUUGCUAUAUGCACUAGAUGUAGAGAUGUUAACGUUGAUGCUAUUCAUGAUCACAUUGCUAUGAUUAAAUAACAAAAUGAUCAUAUAGCAAAAUUAGAUGCUAAAAUUGCCGAGCAUGAGUUAGAAAAUGAAAAAUUUAAAUUUGCUCGUAGCAUGCUUUAUAGUGGGAGACGCCCUGGCAUUAAGGAUGGCAUUGGCUUCCAACAGGGAGACAAUGUCAAGCUUAAUGCCCCUCCUAAAAGAUUGUCUAAUUUUAUCAAGGGCAAAGCUCCCAUGCCUCAGGAUAACGAGGGUUACAUUUUAUACCCUGCCGGUUAUCCCGAGCACAAAAUUAGGAGAAUUCACUCUAGGAAGUCUCACUCUGGCUCCCAUCAUGCUUUUAUGUAUAAGAGUGAGGCAUCUAGUUCUAGGCAAUCAACACAUGCUAAAUUGCGUAAGAAGAAAACUCCUAUUGCAUCAAAUGAACAUAACAUUUCAUUUAAGACUUUUGAUGCAUCAUAUGUUUUAACUAACAAAUUAGGCAAAGUAGUUGCCAAAUAUGUUGGGGGCAAACACAAGGGGUCAAAGACUUGUGUUUGGGUACCCAAGGUGCUUGUUUCUAAUGUCAAAGGACCCAAGACCGUUUGGGUACCUAAGAACAAGGCCUAAAUUUGUUUUGUAGGUUUAUGCAUCCGGGGGCUCAAGUUGGAUCAUCGGUAGCGGGUGCACAAACCACAUGACAGGGGAGAAAAGGAUGUUCUCCUCCUAUGAGAAAAACCAUGAUCCCCAACGAGCCAUCACAUUCGGGGAUGGAAAUCAAGGUUUGGUCAAAGGAUUGGGUAAAAUUGCUAUAUCACCUGACCACUCUAUUUCCACUGUUUUUCUUGUAGAUUCUUUAGAUUACAAUUUGCUUUCCGUUUCUCAAUUAUGUAAAAUGGGCUACAACUGUCUUUUAUAGAUAUAAGUGUUAUUGUCUUUAGAAGAAGUGAUGAUUCAGUAGCAUUUAAGGGAGUGUUAGAGGGUCAGCUACACUUAGUUGAUUUUAAUAGAGCUGAACUCGACACUUGCCUAAUUGCUAAGACUAACAUGGGUUAGCUCUGGCACCGCUGACUAGCCCUUGUUGGGAUGAAGAAUCUUCAUAAGCUUCUAAAGGGAGAGCACAUUUUGGGACUAACCAAUGUUCAUUUUGAGAAAGACAGGGUUUGUAGCGCAUGUCAAGCAGGGAAGCAAAUUGGAGCCCAUUGUAGCAUCCCAAAAAUUCAAAUCCUGAAAUUUUCUCAAACUUGCUCUAAAUUCAAAAUGAAUUUCAAAUUUCAUUUCAAAAUGUUUGUUUGCAAGUUGAUAUCAACAAGUAAAAUAUAGUGGUCUAUAUUCUCUCUAAAAUCCUCCUCAAAAUAUCCUACAAAUAUUUCCCCUGUGAUCACCCUCAAACUCUUUCAGAAAUACUGCCCAAAUAUUCCACCGAUAUACCUCCAAGUAUUUUCUUCCUAAGAAAUACCUUCAGAAUCAUUUUUCAAGCCCCCACAAAUAUUUUCUUCAUAACUUUCCUCAUGCUCAUACGUAUACAUAUGCCUCCAGUGUCAUACGUUGAGCUCUACAAGCUAAUUACACUCAUAUAAGACAAAUCCAUGCUAAUCUCCCACUAAUCCUCUCAUCCUCCCACUAAUCCUCUCAUCCCUCCCCCUAAUCCCCCCACCAUGGCUAUAAAUAGAGGGGCAAGGGCCUCCUCUCAUCCCACCCCAAGCAAUUUCAUGGCAACUCUCUUCCCCCCCGCACACACCCACUCCAUGUUCCACACAAGCACACACUAGCACAAGGAUCGUUCGGUCGUUCUUCGAUCGUUCGUCCCCCUGUUCUUAGUUUGUUCGUUCGUUCGUCCGAUCGUUUGAUCGUUUGUCCGAUUGUUCAUGGUUCGUUCGUCCGUUCGUCUGAUCGUUCGUCCAUUCGUUCGUCCAAAUAAUCUUUUUCCUGCCGUUAUGCUGCCGAAAUUCCGAUCGUUCGUUCGUCCGAUCGUUUGAUCGUUCGUCCGAUCGUUCAUGGUUCGUUCGUCCAUUCGUCCGAUCGUUCGAUCGUUCGUCCGUUCGUUCAUCCAAAUAAUCUUUUUCCUGCCGUUAUGCUGCUGAAAUUCCGAUCGUUCGUUCGUUCAAUCAUUCGAUCGUUCAUCGUUCGUUCAUAGUUCCUAUCCAUCGUUCAUCGUUCGUUCAUACGAACUAUUCACCAUCACUAUUUACUGUUACUAUUUACCGUUACUUUUACCGUUACUAUUUACCGUUACUAUUUACCAUUACUUUUUACCAUUACUUUUUACCGUUACUAUUCACCGUUACUUUUUACCGUUACUUUUUACCGUUACUAUUUACCGUUACUAUUUACCGUUACUAUUUACCGUUACUUUUUACCGUUACUUUUUACCGUUACUAUUUACCGUUACUAUUUACCGUUACUUUUUACCGUUACUAUUCACCGUUACUAUUCAUCGAUCAUCCGAUCACCCCAAAUUUCAACUACUCAUCCAUCAGGCUGUCCAGUCCACCUAAGACCAACCAGACCCAUAUCCCAGUUAUACAAACUCCGGUGACUGUGAUUUUCCUUCCAGUGGGAACUUCCCAUCUGGUCACCCAUCCUAGGUUUCUCCAAGUUGAGCACGCUUAACUUGAGAUUCCUUCGAACCAGGCUUUCAAACUCAGAUUCUAAUAAUUCUCGUUUCUAAAUUCUUAUCAAACUAUUCCCUAUCCAACCAUGUCAUCCCUUAAGCAUGGUUCAUAUUCCAGAAAACUCCCAAAAUACUCUCGUCCCAUAUUCUGCCUAUAACUCUCCUGUUCAUACUAAGUCAAACGAUUCAUUCGUCACUAUUCUCACCAACAGUGAACUUCACUGUGCUACACCACAUACACCCAGCUAUAAAUACACCCAGCUACCCUCUCCCUCUCCACACACACUCAACACCCUCAGCCAAGGAAAACACCCCACCCACUCAGUUACUCCGCUCUGCCGGCUACACGCAUAGUGUCGCUUCGCCUCCAGUCCACCCUCCUGUUAUCGGAGCGUUCGUGCUGUCUCGUGGAGGCCAGAUCUGCAAGUCUACGCCAGGCGGUGGAGCCAGAAGCCAGUUCUGCGAGCUCUCCUUCCCCCUUCGCCGGAUAAGCACGACAAGCUCACUGGAUCCCUUUGAUGCAUAAAUUACCUAUGAUUUUUCAACCACAACCCUCAGCCUGUUAUUUUAUGCAUGAUAUGAUUUUGAGACAAGUUAUUAUGGCCACCCAGCCGCUUGCCGCAAUCAAUCUCUGAUAUAUUUGUUACAAAUGAUUUAAGGAAAGUUGUGAGUUUUCAAAGAAAAUGCUUUUCAAAAUGUGUAUGAUGAAGGGUUUUCACCCUUUUCACCUUGUGAGUGGGAUAAUCAGGGACUCCCUGGUUUAGGGGAGGGCCUAAGGUGAUGGCUCAGCUGGUUUAGGCGUGAGCAGAAGGAUUGUCCCCUCGUAUAAGGACCGGUUUGUCAUCUUUCACUACCUGUACUCAUGAUAAGUACAACCACUCGAGACUGUGUGGGCAGUCACUCAAUCUGAACUCGUACGGUCCAACCCCAGGGUUAUGAAGGCUGGGGAGCACCGGGAGGAUAAGGAGGGGGAAAGUUUUGUCCGGUUUGGACAUGGUGGUGGCCUGACUCCUUCCGGUAUAACCGUUAAGGUUAGGACGUGCAAGGGAAGAAAGAGAUUCGGAUUCGGAUCUCAUUGAUCAUGAGAUCGCAGAGCCGGAGUAGUGGGUAAAGUGUACACCUCUGCGCAGAGUUUGAAAACCUAUUCGAAUAGUCCGUGUCCACAGGAAUGGACGAGUCUGGUAUGGUAUGGCAAUUAAUGUUUGGUUUUCAAAAAGGGUGCGUUUGAGAAAAGUGGUUUUUAAAAGGUUCGGCGGUUGAGCCGUGAGCUAUGGUGGACGGGAAGUCCAAUAGCUGUUUUUGAAAAUGAAAACCAGUGGGAAACUGUUGAGAUACCUGGAUGGUUUAGUCCAGGGGAUUUUGUUAUAAUACUGAAAAACUUCCUGCUCCUUUUGGAGAGGAUGCGCUUUGCAAAAAUACAAAAUGUUUUUCAAAACAACUCUGCAUAAAAUAUUGUUGUUUCUGCAAAAUAUCCUGAGCUCCACAUAUUCCAUGCAUUAUAUCUAAUUUCCCCAUUCCGUGGGUGAAGGUGGGCUGCUGAGUACGUUUGUACUCACCCUUGCUUAUUUGUUGUUUUUCAGAAAAAGGAGAUCGGGUAAGAGUUACGCCUGUUCCCAACCUUGCCUGUGGCUGUUGGACCGCUGAUUUGCUUCACUGCGUAUAUCGGGCUGCUUCAGCCCCACUCUGAUGAUAUGUCCCGAGUUGUGGACCAACUCUUAAAGUUGUUCGUCACCUUUAUAGGUUUGUCGUUAAAGCAGAUCUGUAAUCAUCUGAUGUAUAAAUGUGUUUACUAGCCUCCUGGGACUAGUAAUUGUAUCACAUUUGAGUCCUAGAGGAUUGGGGACUCUUCAGGUGGUAUCAGAGCUAUUAGGUUGGCCACAGGACGUAACCCUUAGCCUGAUCCAAAAGUUUUUGAGUCAAAACUAUUUUUUUUAAAAAAAAAUUCUUGCUCUCAUCCCUUCAUUUGAAAAAUGCUUUCCCCCUUUCCUUCUCUCAGAAGUCAGAUGGAGGUUCGCUGCCAAACCAGCUUUUGCCAAAAUGAAGAUGGUUUCCCCAAGUUGCUGAGAGCAUGUACAGUCCGCCUUGGAAUCAGGAGCCAGCCAGAGUAUGAUGGUCGUGAAUUCGUCGAGCAUGGCACAGAGAAGUGUGUCGUGACUGUAUACAUUGGAUCCAGUCCGCACCAUGUGGAAUGGAGUGUCACUGCUGAUGGUCACAGAUUCAAAGACACCCGUCAAGUCGUCGCUCGCAAGGCAUUGAGGGCCCUGUGUCAGAUCUAUGAAGAAGAAGUGGCCGACACACCGCUCAGAUUCUUUCCGCCCUUUCAGAGAGACCGUCCAGUUUGGAUGGCCAGGAUGCGUGCAUUGGAAGGUCAGCAGCUGCUUGAGGACGACCCCACAAUCGUGUACCUCACUGCAUACCUGCUCACCCUGGAUGCACAAUAUGAUUUCUUGGCUCGGCACCACCGUCAGAUGAUUGCUCGAGCAGAAGAUGCAGAGAAGCUCAACCGUAAGCUCCAUGUGGACCUCACCACAGCUCAAGCCCGUGUAGCUGCCUUGGAAAGUCGUGAAGUCAUUGCUGUUGAAGCCCUGAAGCAAGCCAAGGAUGAGCACGUCCAGAAGUUGAUGGAGGCCUACUUGGUAACCCAUAACCAACGUAGAGCCCCGCGGAUCCAAGAGCCCGCUCCAUCCAACCCAGUCCAACCCAUGAGAGUUGAAGACCCCCCCGAUUCUUGAAGGUCACCCGGUCUCUACCAGAGGAGAAAAGAAGGCUUGGGAACUCCCAGAAGGAGCCAUAGUCUUGGAAGGAAUUCCAGUCUUCCCUCAGGCUAUGAAUAAGCAAGAGCACUCUGAGUCCUCCCAAGAUCCACUGCCAGAGUUGUUUGAGCCCCUCACCUUGAAGAAGAUUCCAGCACCGUCCCGUGAGAUCAAAGAAGAAGCUGCAAGCACCCCACCAGCACCGCCGCCCUCUGAGGAGCUACAAGAGCCAGUCGCGCUUGAAGAAGAGUUCAACCCCGUGUUGCCAUCUCAGUUGCCGCCAGAAGAAGUCAUCAACAUCAACUCCCUCUUGACCCAUCCAAGAGAUAUCUCAGAUUGAAGUUGUGAGCCAGCCUUGCCACAAGAGAAGCUGCCAGAUCUGAGUUAGUUAUGCCCAGUCCUCUGCAUGCAUUGGGUAGUGAAGUUUUUCUUCACUUUGGCUAGAGCCCUACGUGUAUGAGAGGUAAUCGUGUAGACUCGUUUUUGCAAAACUCUAAUUGUGUGGCCCCCUAGGGCAUUUCAAAAUGAAUUUCGCUUGAUGUUUUCUUCCCUUUUGAGUGCAUAUGUGAUGCUUUAACGUUAGUGCUCAUAAGUCGCAUUUCAGCAUAGUUUUCAGUUCAGGAGCUGAGCAAUAGUAGUUAUGCUUAGCCCCCGAAUCCAAGUAGUUCGUGAUUUGGAAAAACUCUAUUCUUCCCUUAUUCAAAACAUUUGAUUUGUUUGUGCUUAUCAUUGCUGAACUUAUGUGUUUUUUUCUUUUUAAAAAAGGUUUUCUCUAAAAACAUAAAUCACAAAUUAGAUCUAAUCCUCACCUUAUGCUUCCAUUCUCAUCUUAACCCAUCUCAAGAGAAAAGCACCUUACCCAAGAAGAUACCGGAAGCUUACCCUUGAAGCCUGGAACAAGCUACAGAAGAAACCAGUCCAGCCGCUCAGUCAAAAGGACCGACCGUGAGAAUCAAAGCACUGCCCCUGAGUCAAAGUAAACAGGAAAAGAGGACAGAAGGAGUUAUUACCAUGCAGAGAGGCAAAUAUUCUUGGAACCAGAGACCACAAACAUCAGGGUCAUUGACCCCACCACUCACCCGUGCUCCCCGCACGCGUGCCCCGCCUCCAUGCGCACUACCACCGCCCCAUGCCCUUUUUGCAGCGCACCCACCGCCGCCAUUACCACCAGCAACGCCAUCCCCCCUCCAUCGAACUUGUUACCUUGUGUCACCUGCUCCAUCACCAUUACUCCGCAACCGGACACCCCCGCUCGCCUAUAAAACCCCCCACCAGCUCCCUCAACUCCCAUCUCGCUCAAAGCAAAGCACACUCCAGAUAAAUCCCCUCUGUCAUAAUCGAAGCAACCCCAUUUCCCACUCCCUCGCCCCUAAGCUCACAAUGCUUGGUGAUUCUUGGGUUGAAGACUGUUGUACAUGGUUCAACAUCUUCGGUUUCCUCCAAUGUAUGAUGGUAAUACUCUUUGAUAGAAUCCUCCAGUGGGAAGAGCAAAGAGAAAGAAAGGGUCAGUGAAAAGAAGAUAGUGAAGAGAAGAUGAGAAGAAGGUUCUCCCAAAAUCAACCCUGUGUCAGUCAUUUCUCCGCAGCCUGCUCAAGCAGCAACAACAGAAGAAGGUUACGUAACACCCUUGUUAUGAGGUACUUCAAGGAGUUCAAAUCCCCAAGAUUCAAGAGUUCUACCCUCAUUCUUUUUAAGUGGGGUAGUAUUCCAAUAAGGUUCCUGCUAUGGAGAAAAAGAAGGCCUGUAGCAAGCUUGUCGAGGACCAGAUCAUUGAAGCAUAUAAGUUUCUGGAUGAGAAGUGGUCACCCAAGUUCCGUUGAUGAAGCACCAGAAGACCAAUCAAGGAAGGAAUCCAUGUGGGAGUUCGCAAGAGAAAGGUUUGCGUGUUGGCAUCAAUGCUUCCUCAAUAAGCUAGCUGCCAAGCGAAACCUAGAAGCCUGAAGAUGAUCUUUGAGUAGCCAGAAUCAGUGUUUGCAAUCGGCAACCAGAUGCUCCUCAAAGGCCAGAUUUUGUUGAAGCUCUAUCUUCUCGAAGAGUUGCAAAGUGAAGAUAUGUAGCUGAAGUAAAGCUAUACCCAUAACCCUUCUAAGCCGAAUCUCGAGGACGAGAUUCCUUUUAAGUGGGGUAGAUUUGUAGCAUCCCAAAAAUUCAAAUCCUGAAAUUUUCUCAAACUUGCUCUAAAUUCAAAAUGAAUUUCAAAUUUCAUUUCAAAAUGUUUGUUUGCAAGUUGAUAUCAACAAGUAAAAUAUAGUGGUCUAUAUUCUCUCUAAAAUCCUCCUCAAAAUAUCCUACAAAUAUUUCCCCUAUGAUCACCCUCAAACUAUUUCAGAAAUACUGCCCAAAUAUUCCACCGAUAUACCUCCAAGUAUUUUCUUCCUAAGAAAUACCUUUAGAAUCAUUUUUCAAGCCCCCACAAAUAUUUUCUUCAUAACUUUCCUCAUGCUCAUACGUAUAUGUAUGCCUCCGGUGUCAUACGUUGAGCUCUACAAGCUAAUUACACUCAUAUAAGACAAAUCCAUGCUAAUCUCCCACUAAUCCUCUCAUCCUCCCACUAAUCCUCUCAUCCCUCCCCCUAAUCCCCCCACCAUGGCUAUAAAUAGAGGGGCAAGGGCCUCCUCUCAUCCCACCCCAAGCCAUUUCAUGGCAACUCUCUCCCCCCCCCGCACACACCCACUCCAUGUUCCACACAAGCACACACUAGCACAAGGAUCAUUCGGUCGUUCUUCGAUCGUUCGUCCCCCUGUUCUUAGUUUGUUCGUUCGUUCGUCCGAUCGUUCAUGGUUCGUUCGUCCGUUCGUCCGAUCAUUUGAUCGUUCGUCCGUUCGUUCGUCCAAAUAAUCUUUUUCCUGCCGUUAUGCUGCCGAAAUUCCGUUCGUUCGUUCGUCCGAUCGUUUGAUCGUUCGUCCGAUCGUUCAUGGUCCGUUCGUCCGUUCGUCCGAUCGUUCGAUCGUUCGUCCGUUCGUUCGUCCAAAUAAUCUUUUUUCUGCCGUUAUGCUGCCGAAAUUCCGAUCGUUCGUUCGUUCGAUCAUUCGAUCGUUCAUCGUUCGUUCAUAGUUCCUAUCCAUCGUUCAUCGUUCGUUCAUACGACUAUUCACCAUCACUAUUUACUGUUACUAUUUACCGCUACUUUUACCGUUACUAUUUAUCGUUACUAUUACCGUUAUUUUUUACCGUUACUAUUCACCGUUACUUUUUACCGUUACUAUUUACCGUUACUUUUUACCGUUACUAUUUACCGUUACUUUUUACCGUUACUUUUUACCGUUACUAUUUACCGUUACUAUUCACCGUUACUAUUCAUCGAUCAUCCGAUCACCCCAAAUUUCAACUACUCAUCCAUCAGGCUGUCCAGUCCACCUAAGACCAGCCAGACCCAUAUCCCAGUUAUACAAACUCCGGUGACUGUGAUUUUCCUUCCAUUGGGAACUUCCCAUCUGGUCACCCAUCCUAGGUUUCUCCAAGUUGAGCACGCUUAACUUGAGAUUCCUUCGAACCAGGCUUCCAAACUCAGAUUCCAAUAAUUCUCGUUUCUAAAUUCUUAUCAAACUAUUCCCUAUCCAACCAUGUCAUCCCUUAAGCAUGGUUCAUAUUCCAGAAAACUCCCAAAAUACUCUCGUCCCAUAUUCUGCCUAUAACUCUUCUGUUCAUACUAAGUCAGACGAUUCAUUCGUCACUAUUCUCACCAACAGUGAACUUCACUGUGCUACACCACAUACACCCAGCUAUAAAUACACCCAACUACCCUCUCCCUCUCCACACACACUCAACACCCUCAGCCAAGGAAAACACCCCACCCACUCAGUUACUCCGCUCUGCCGGCUACACGCAUAGUGUCGCUUCGCCUCCAGUCCACCCUCCUGUUAUCGGAGAGUUCGUGCUGUCUCGUGGAGGCCAGAUCUGCAAGUCUACGCCAGGCGGUGGAGCCAGAAGCCAGUUCCGCGAGCUCUCCUUCCCCCUUCGCCGGAUAAGCACGACAAGCUCACUGGAUCCCUUUGAUGCAUAAAUUACCUAUGAUUUUUAACCACAACCCUUAGCCUGUUAUUUUAUGCAUGAUAUGAUUUUGAGACAAGUUAUUAUGGCCACCCAGCCGCUUGCCGCAAUCAAUCUCUGAUAUAUUUGUUACAAAUGAUUUGAGGAAAGGUGUGAGUUUUCAAAGAAAAUGCUUUUCAAAAUGUGUAUGAUGAAGGGUUUUCACCCUUAUCACCUUGUGAGUGGGAUAAUCAGGGACUCCCUGGUUUAGGGGAGGGCCUAAGGUGAUGGCUCAGCUGGUUUAGGCGUGAGCAGAAGGAUUGUCCCCUCGUAUAAGGACCGGUUUGUCAUCUUUCACUACCUGUACUUAUGAUAAGUACAACCACUCGAGACUGUGUGGGCAGUCACUCAAUCUGAACUCGUACGGUCCAACCCCAGGGUUAUGAAGGCUGGGGAGCACCGGGAGGAUAAGGAGGGGGAAAGUUUUGUCCGGUUUGGACAUGGUGGUGGCCUGACUCCUUCCGGUAUAACCGUUAAGGUUAGGACGUGCAAGGGAAGAAAGAGAUUCGGAUUCGGAUCUCAUUGAUCAUGAGAUCGCAGAGCCGGACUAGUGGGUAAAGUGUACACCUCUACGCAGAGUUUGAAAACCUAUUCGAAUAGUCCGUGUCCACAGGAAUGGACGAGUCUGGUAUGGUAUGGCAAUUAAUGUUUGGUUUUCAAAAAGGGUGCGUUUGAGAAAAGUGGUUUUUAAAAGGUUCGGCGGUUGAGCCGUGAGCUAUGGUGGACGGGAAGUCCAAUAGCUGUUUUUGAAAAUGAAAACCAGUGGGAAACUGCUGAGAUACCUGGAUGGUUUAGUCCAGGGGAUUUUGUUAUAAUACUAAAAAACUUCCUGCUCCUUUUGGAGAGGAUGCGCUUUGCAAAAAUACAAAAUGUUUUUCAAAACAACUCUGCAUAAAAUAUUGUUGUUUCUGCAAAAUAUCCUGAGCUCCACAUAUUCCAUGCAUUAUAUCUGAUUUCCCCAUUCUGUGGGUGAAGGUGGGCUGCUGAGUACGUUUGUACUCACCCUUGCUUAUUUGUUGUUUUUCAGAAAAAGGAGAUCGGGUAAGAGUUAUGCCUGUUCCCAACCUUGCCUGUGGCUGUUGGACCGCUGAUUUGCUUCACUGCAUAUAUCGGGCUGCUUCAGCCCCACUCUGAUGAUAUGUCCCGAGUUGUGGACCAACUCUUAAAGUUGUUCGCCACCUUUAUAGGUUUGUCGUUUAAUCAGAUCUGUAAUCAUCUGAUGUAUAAAUGUGUUUACUAGCCUCCUGGCACUAGUAAUUGUAUCACAUUUGAGUCCCAGAGGAUUGGGGACGCUUCACCCAUCAUCCACACAAGAACAUCAUGACGACCGACAUGUCGCUUGAACUACUCCACAUGGACCUAUUCGGCCCGAUCGCUUACAUAAGCAUCAACGGGAGUAAGUAUUGUCUAGUUAUUGUGGAUGGUUAUUCACGCUUCACUUGGGUAUUCUUUUUGCAGGAAAAAUCACAAACCCAAGAGACAUUGAAGGGAUUCUUGAGACGGGCUCAAAAUGAGUUCGGCUUAAGGAUCAAAAAGAUUAGAAGCGACAACGGGACGAAGUUCAAGAACUCACAAAUAGAAGGCUUCCUUGAGGAGGAGGGCAUCAAGCAUGAGUUCUCUUCUCCCUACACACCACAACAAAAUGGUGUAGUGGAGAGGAAGAAUAGAACUCUAUUGGACAUGGCAAGAACCAUGCUUGAUGAGUACAAGACUUCGGAUCGGUUUUGGGCUGAGGCGGUCAACACCGCUUGCUACACCAUAAACCGGUUAUAUCUUCACUGAAUCCUCAAGAAGACAUCAUAUGAACUCCUCACUGGUAAAAAGCCCAAUGUUUCAUAUUUUAGAGUCUUUGCUAGCAAAUGCUUUAUUCUUGUUAAAAGAGGUAGAAAAUCUAAAUUUGCUCCUAAGGCUGUAGAAGGCUUUUUACUUGGUUAUGAUUCAAACACAAGGGCAUAUAGAGUCUUUAACAAGUCCUCUGGACUAGUUGAAGUUUCUUGUGACAUUGUGUUUGAUGAGACUAACGGAUCUCAAGUAGAGCAAGUUGAUCUUGAUGAACUAGAUGAUGAAGAGGCUCCGUGCAUCGCGCUAAGGAACAUGUCCAUUGGGGAUGUGUGUCCUAAGGAAUCCGAAGAGCCUCCACAUGCACAAGAUCAACCAUCUUCCUCAAUGCAAGCAUCUCCACCAACUCAAUAUGAGGAUCAAGCUCAAGAGGAUGAAAAUGAAGAUCAAGAAGAUGAGCCACCUCAAGAGGAGGACAAUGACCAAGGGGGAGAUGCUAAUGAUCAAGACAAGGAAGAUGAUGAGGGUCCAAGACCGCCACACCCAAGAGUCCAUCAAGCAAUCCAACGAGAUCACCCCGUGAACACCAUCCUCGGCGAUAUUCAUAAGGGGGUAACCACUCGAUCUCGUGUUGCUCAUUUUUGUGAACAUUACUCUUUUGUUUCCUCUAUUGAGCCACAUAGGGUAGAGGAAGCACUCCAAGAUUCAGAUUGGGUGCUGGCGAUGCAAGAGGAGCUCAACAACAUCACGAGGAAUGAGGUAUGACAUUUAGUUCCACGUCCUAACCAAAAUGUUGUAGGAACCAAGUGGGUCUUCCGCAACAAACAGGAUGAGCAUGGUGUGGUGACAAGGAACAAAGCCUGACUUGUGGCCAAGGGAUAUUCACAAGUUGAAGGUUUGGAUUUCGGUGAAACCUAUGCACCCGUAGCUAGGCUUGAGUCAAUUCAUAUAUUACUUGCCUAUGCUACCUACCAUGGCUUCAAGCUUUAUCAAAUGGACGUGAAAAGUGCCUUCCUCAAUGGACCAAUCAAGGAGGAGGUCUAUGUUGAGCAACCUCCCGGCUUUGAAGAUAGUGAGUACCCUAACCAUGUUUAUAAACUCUCUAAGGCGCUUUAUGGGCUCAAGCAAGCCCCAAGAGCAUGGUAUGAAUGCCUAAGAGAUUUUCUUAUCGCUAAUGGCUUCAAAGUCAGAAAAGCCGAUCCUACUAUCUUUACUAAAACACUUGCAAAUGAUUUGUUUGUAUGCCAAAUUUAUGUUGAUGAUAUCAUAUUUGGGUCUACUAACGAAUCUACAUGUGAAGAGUUUAGUAGGAUCAUGACUCAAAAAUUCGAGAUGUCUAUGAUGGGGGAGUUGAAGUAUUUCUUAGGAUUUCAAGUGAAGCAACUCCAAGAGGGCACCUUCAUUAGCCAAACGAAGUACAUUCAAGACAUACUCACCAAGUUUGGGAUGAAGGAUGCCAAGCCCAUCAAGACACCCAUGGGAACAAAUGGGCAUCUCGACCUCGACACGGGAGGUAAAUCCGUAGAUCAAAAGGUAUACCGGUUGAUGAUAGGUUCUUUACUCUACUUAUGUGCAUCUCGACCGGAUAUUAUGCUUUUUGUAUGCAUGUGUGCAAGAUUCCAAGCCGAUCCUAAGGAAGUUCACCUUAGGGCCGUGAAACGAAUCUUGAGAUAUUUAGUUUAUACUCCUAAGUUUGGCCUUUGGUACCCCAGGGGAUCCACUUUUGAUUUAAUUGGUUAUUCAGAUGCUGAUUGGGCAGGGUGUAAAAUUGAUAGAAAGAGCACAUCAGGGACUUGCCAGUUCUUAGGAAGAUCUCUGGUGUCUUGGGCUUCAAAGAAGCAAAAUUCUAUCGCUCUUUCUACCGCCAAAGCCGAGUACAUUGCCGCAGGCCAUUGUUGCGCGCAAUUGUUUUGGAUGAGGCAAACCCUUAGGGACUAUGGUUACAAAUUAACCAAAGUUCCUCUCCUAUGUGAUAAUGAGAGUGCAAUCCGCAUGGCGGAUAAUCCCGUUGAGCAUAGCCGCACUAAACACAUAGCCAUUCGGUAUCACUUUUUGAGGGAUCACCAACAAAAGGGGGAUAUCGAGAUUGCAUAUAUCAAUACCAAAGAACAAUUAGCCGAUAUCUUUACCAAGCCACUAGAUGAGAAAACAUUUACCAAACUUAGGCAUGAGCUAAAUAUUCUUGAUUCUAGGAAUUUUGAUUGAUGUUUUGCACACAUAGCUCAUGUAUAUACCUUUGAUCAUCUCUUUCAUGUGCUAUGACUAAUGUGGUUUUCAAGUGCAUUUCAUGCUAAGUCAUAGAUUGAAAGGGAAUUGGAGUCUUCGGCGAAGACAAAGGCUUCCACUCCACUCCAUCGAAUUAUUCAUCCUUCGCCGUCGCUCCGCAACGCUCUCCAAAUUGGUAUAAUCUUCACUCACAUAUUAUUUACCAAAGGGAGAGAAAGAAAAGGGCUUAUAUUUCACUCACAAGUAUCCGUUUUUGGCGAUUCAUGCCAAAGGGGGAGAAAGUAUUAGCCCAAAGCAAAAGGGCCGCACCACCACCAAUUUCAAAAAUGUAGUUUUCAAAUUUGGUUAAGAAAAGAUUUUUCAAUUGGUAUCUUAUUUUUGAUAUAGUUUCAAAUUGGUAUAACCCCUCUUCAAAAUUAAUAUCUAAAACCCUCUUGAACACUAAGAGGAGGAUUUCAUUAAGGGGGAGUUUUGUUUAGUCAAAGGAAAAGCAUUUGAAACAGGGGGAGAAAAUUUCAAAUCUUGAAAAUGCUUCUCAAAAUCUUAUUCAUAUACCUUUGACUAUUUUCAAAAGAUUUUUGAAAAAGAAUUUCCAAAACAUUGCAAAACAAAACAAGUGGUGCAAAAUUUUAAAUUAGAAGAAAGCCAUCCAUGCAUAUCUAGUAUAAAUAAUUAUUGGUUUCAUUCCUAGCAACCUUUGCACUUACAUUAUGCAAACUAGUUAAAUUCUGCACUUAUAUAUUUGCUUUGGUUUGUGUUGGCAUCAAUCACCAAAAAGGGGGAGAUUGAAAGGGAAAUAGGCUUACACCUUUUCCUAAUUGAUUUGGGUGGUUGAAUUGCCCAACACAAAUAAUUGGACUAACUAGUUUGCUCUAGAUUAUAAGUUUUACAAGUGCCAAAGGUUCACAACAAACCAAUAAAAAGACCAAGAAAGGGUUCAAACAAAGAGAGCAAAAGACUACCGAAGUGUGCCCUGGUCUAGCGCACCGGACUGUCCGGUGUGCCACCGGACAGUGUUCGGUGCACCAGGGAAUUCCAGUAUGAACUUGCCACCUUCGGGAAUUCUGGGAGGCGCUCCGCUAUAAUUCACCGGACUAUCCGGUGUAGCACCGGACUAUCCGGUGCGCCAGCGGAGUAACGGCUACACAUCGCCAACGGUCGUCUGCAACGAGUAGUUAAUGUGCUACAGUGCGCGCAGAAGUCAGAGCAGAGCCAGAAGGCACACCAGAUAAUGAACAAUGACUGUCCGGUGCACCACCGGACUGUCCAGUGGCCCAGCUGUCAGAAGCUCCAACGGUCAGAACCCAACGGCCGGGUGACGUGGCUGGCGCACCGGACAGUGUCCGGUGGCGCACAGGACUGUCCGGUGCGCCAUGCGACAGCAGCCUCCACCAACGGCUCCUUUGGUGGUUGGGGCUAUAAAUACCCCCAACCACCCACCAUUCAUUGCAUCAGGUUGUCAACCUUCACACUUCAUACAAGAGCUAUAACAUUCAAUACAAGACACAAACAAGAGAUCAAAUCCUCUUCCAAGUCCAAAGACAAUUCUAAUCAAAUAGUGACUAGUGAGAGAGAGAUACUUGUGUUCAUUUGAGCUCUUGCGCUUGGAUUGCUUUUUUCUUCCUUCAUUCUUGUGUUCAAUUCACUUGUAAUCAAAACAAGAGACAUCAAGUUGUGGUGGUCCUUGUAGUGGACUUAGUGUCCCAUUUGAUUGAAGAGAAAGGCUCACUCGGUCUAGGUGACCGUUUGAGAGAGGGAAAGGGUUUAAAGAGACCCGGUCUUUAUGACCACCUCAAUGGGGAGUAGGUUUGCAAGAACCGAACCUCAGUAAAACAAAUCACCGUGUCAUCCGCUCUUAUUCGCUUGUGAUUUGUUUUCACCCUCUCUUUUGGACUCACAUUUAAUUCUAACGCUAACUCGGCUUGUAGUGUGUGCUUAAGUUUAUAAAUUUCAGAUUUGCCUAUUCACCCCCCCUCUAGGCGACUUUCAGUUUGCUUAUCAUAUGUUUUGAUGCUUGUCGUGAUGAACUUGUAAUGAAGUUGGAUCUUUGUAAUGAUUGUCAUCAAGGUGUGGGCAUCCCCUGCAACAUGAUGUAGUUAUUAAUAAAGUCAGUUAUUUAGUUGGGUAAUCCCUUUAUUUCCACUUUCCUCUUUAUCUAAGAAGUAGUGUUGGCUGUGUUGAGGGUCAGUGAAGAUGAUCAAUUGUUCAAUGAUAUAAAGAUUUCCAUAUAUCUUUUCUUAUGAUGAAAGACUAUAGAGUCAGAUCUGAUGUGUGUGUGCUUUCUAUAGAUGUCUAAGAACUGGUGCAGAGGUGGAAGGCGUGCUCAGGAGCAGCAGGCACCCCAGGAGGAGGCAGCUUGGCAGUAGUUGCCACCCCCACCACCGAUGACUAUUGAUCAGAUGUUCCUGAUGCAAACUCAAGUAGUCCAAGCGAUUGGUCAGACUUUAGCAGCAAUGCAGCAGGUGCAGCAGUAGCAACCCCCACCUCAACCCCAAGUGCAAGUUUAGAUGCCACAGGUGCCCUGAGACAAGCGGGCAGAAUUCAUGAGGGGCAUCCCCUGUCUUUGCCCAUUCUGCUGAUCCCAUGGAGGUCGAAGAUUGGUUGUGUACUGUGGAGCGUGAGUUGCACACUGCUCAGUGCAACGAUCGCGAGAAGGUUCUGUAUGGUCCCCGUCUACUAAGGGGAGCAACACAGUCUUGGUGGGAGUCUUACCUUGCCACCCAUGCCGACCCUGAAGCCAUCACCUGGGAGGAGUUCAGGGACAACUUCCAUCGUUACCAUGUGCCUGAAGGACUGAUGAUAGUAAAGGAAGGAGGAAUUUCUAGCUUUGAAGCAAGGUCCCCUAUCUGUCAGUGAGUACAGGGACAAGUUUCUGCAGCUGUCACGUUAUGCGCUAGAAGAUGUUAAUACAGAUGCUAAGAGGCAUUACCGCUUUCUAAGAGGUUUGGUUGACCCCCUUCACUACUAGCUAAUAAACCACACUUUCCCUAUCUUCCAGCAUUUGAUCGAUAGAGCAAUAAUGACUGAAAGGAAGCAUCGGGAGAUGGAGGACAGGAAACACAAGAUUGGUGGAUCUUAGGUCAGGAGUAGCAGUCAUCCCCGCUACUCAGGCAACCCACCUCAGUAGUUCAAGCAAGAUCGCCCUCAAGGUCACCAGCCCCAGCGUCAGCACCAGCAGCAAUACUAGAGGCAGUUUCCUCAGCAGCAACAGUACCAUCAGAACAACCAGUAGGGAGGAAAUCAAUACCAGCGUAAGAACAACCAGACACCUCGCCUUCCUGCCGCAACAACCAACCAAAACAACCCAACAGCUCCAGUGCAAGGAGGAGGUCGUGCAUGUUUCCACUGUGGGGAACAAGGCCACUAGGCGGAUCAUUGCCCAAAGAAGGCAACUCAGCAGUUGCCAGCUUUCAACACCUCAGCAUGACAAGGAGCACCACAGCAAGCACCAGAAGGCUGUGGUUAGGCCUGCAACCGUGGAAAGGUGAACCACUUGGAGUCCAAAGCAAUCCAGGAUGUUUAGGACGUGGCAGUAGGUAUGUUUCCAGUCGAAUCUCAUCCAACAAAAGUAUUAUUUGAUACUGGUGUCACACAUUCUUUUGUUUCUACAGCAUAGGUAGAAGCACAUAACAUCCUCGUAGAACUAAUGCUUCCACCUUUAAGAGUUAAUUCAGUUGGGGGAAAAGUAAAGUCUGAUAAGAUGUGUCCGAAUAUAAGGAUUGACAUAAGGGGGAUAGACUUCACCGCUAACCUAGUGGUAAUGGGUACUCAAGGGUUAGAUAUUGUUGGGGGUCUUCUUCUCCGCCGAAGGUCCUCAAGACACAAACACCUUCGGCAAAAUGAUACAGAGGUUCAUCCUCCUUCUGCCGAAGGUUCUCAAGACGAAGACCUCGUGAAGAAGCAACAAUGCGGAACGCCGAAGCUACCGUCAGCUUCGGCUCAGAUCAAGCAAAGAAGGAAAAGACUAGAUAAACCUUAUUAGUUAAGUUGUUUAUAAACAAAUGUUCAGGGGCAUGAAUGUAAUUUUACCUAGGCUACAUCCCGUGCCUAUAAAUAGAUGAACAAUAACACCAUACUGUUCACGCUGAAUUGUAAUCACUCUCUCGCGUCUUCGCCUUUGAGCAAGCCGAAGCAUUUGAGAACAAGUGACCAACAUUGGCGCCCACCUCUGGUGAACUCACUUUCACGACUGCGACAAUGGCUUCGCAACGCAACCAAGCUGUGACACCUUCGGCUACGAAGCUGGUGCUCCCAAUCAUCGGCGGUUCAAGUUCUGAACCAGCCAAUAAGAAGCAGAAGAAAGAAGCACAAAGAAGGGUACACCAUGUUGGAGUGAAAGGACCCUUCAUCAAGUCCAAGUGGUCUCAUAUACCAAUCACCUUCUCCCAGGAAGACCUUCACCUCAAGGAUUAUCCUCACAAUGAUGCAAUGGUUAUAUCUUGUGUCAUCAAGGGGUUCCUGGUUCACAAUGUCCUUGUAGACACAGGCAGUGCUGCAGACAACAUCUUUGCGAAAGCUUUCAAGAAAAUGCAAGAGCAUGAUGACAAGAUACAUGACGUGACACACACCCUCUGUGGUUUCGGAGGAAGGCAGAUAGUGGCACUCGACAAGAUAGCUAUGCCGAUCACCUUCGGCUAUGUUCACAACACAAGGACAGAGCAAGUUGUCUUUGACAUUGUUGACAUGGAGUAUCCCUACAAUGCAAUCAUUGGGCGAGGAACAUUAAACGCCUUUGAAGCAAUACUUCAUCUAGCAUAUCUGUGCAUGAAGAUACCAUCAGACCAAGGCCCCAUAGCUGUGCAUGGAAGUCAAGAGGCUGCUAGAAGGGUCGAAGGGAACUGGACAAAUUCAAAGGCUAUCCAUAACAUAGAUGAAGCCAAAGCUCAUUAGCAGUACAAGCACAAAAGAGAUAAGGCUUCCUCCGCAGACCAGCCGAAGCCCAUGCUUCUAUGCGAGGACAUAACCGAGCAGAAGGUGUUGCUGGGAUCACAGCUGUCUGAUGAACAAAAAAAACAUGUUGAAGUUUUUGUUCAACAACAAGGAUGUCUUUGCCUGGUCAGCCAAUGAUCUCUGUGGUGUCAAGAGAGACAUCAUCGAGCAUUCAUUUAAUGUAGAUCCGACUAUCAGGACAAAAAGGCAGAAGCUUCGGAAGAUGUACGAUGACAAAGCCGAAGGUGCACAAAACAAAGUCAAAAGGCUUCUAAGUGCCGGAGUAAUCAAAGAGGUAACAUAUCCAGAGUGGCUGGCCAAUACUAUAAUGGUGAAAAAGGCUAAUGGAAAGUGGAGAAUGUGAAUUGAUUUCACAGAUCUUAAUAAAGCGUGUCCAAAGGAUGAGUUUCCUCUACCUAGAAUAGACUCUUUGGUGGAUGUGGCAGCUACUUCAGAGCUAAUGAGCCUAUUGGACUGUUAUUUAGGCUACCACCAAAAUUAGAUGAAAAAGAGGAUGAAACCAAGACAAGCUUCAUAACCCCAGUGGGACAUACUGCUACCUUCGGAUGCCUGAGGGGCUCAAGAAUCCUGAAGGAAGCUUCAACAGGAUGACAACCAAAGUUCUCCACUCCCCAAUUGGCAAGAAUGUGCUGACAUACGUUGAUGAUAUCAUAGUCAAAAGCACGAAGCAAGAAAAUCACAUUGCUGAUUUGCAAGAAACAUUUGCUAAUUUCAGAAGGGCUGGUCUCAAGUUGAAUCCAGAAAAAUGUGUCUUCGGAGUGAAGAAUGGAAAAUUUCUUGGUUGUCUGGUAUCAACAAAGGGCAUCGAAGCCAACCCAAGCAAGAUAAAAGCCAUACUUUAGAUGGAGCCACCAAAGUCAUGAAAAGGUGCCCAGAGGUUGACAAGAAGGCUGACAUCGUUGAAUAGAUUUAUUUCAAGAUCAACAGAGAGGAACUUGCCAUUCUUCGAAGUGCUGAAGUCAGUCGAAGUUUUCCAAUGGGGACCAACUCAGCAAAAAGCCUUCGAAGAACUGAAACAAUAUUUGAUAGAAUUAACAACCUUAACUCUACCUUCGUCAGGAACUCCAUUGUUGCUGUAUGUAGCUACUUCCUAUGCUGCAGUUAGUGUAGCGUUGGUGCAAGAAAAGCACGAUGGCCAGGCAAAGAAGCAAGUGUCUGUGUACUUCGUCUCCAAAGUACUUAGCCCAUCAAAGAAAAAUUACACAGAGUUGGAGAAGGUACUAUAUGAUGUACUUCGUCUCCAUAACCAUGACAUCAGACAAGAAAAAGGAGCGCGUGCAGGAGAAUCAAGUACCAGAAGCAACUGUUGAUGCAGCAGUCAGCAGUGCAGCAGACAGACCUGAGGCAGCUCGACGGCGUUGGGCUUGGUGAGUCCGAGAGCGGGUUCGGCGGCCGUGGCCGCAGCGGCGGCGGUGUGCCCCAUCUGGGUGCGGUGACCGAGCGGGUGGUGAUCUGGCUUAAAGAGAUACAGAUGAUGCUUAAAGAAGGGAAGGAAAUGAAACUCGGAGGGCCCUCCCGCUGUCCAACGAGAGUCGAGGUGGUGAUGUCGAUAGAGGAGAGCGCGGUGGGCGGGCUGGCGGCGGCGCGGUGGGUGGGCUAGCGGUGGCGCACUAAUCUGGCGGCGUCGGCGCGCUGAACAGGCGGCGUGCUUAUCGGGCUGGCGGUGGGUGGGCUGAGAGCUGGUGAGAGAGAGACCCACGGCCGGGAUAGGGAUUUGGUAUUUUGGGUUAAGUUCGACGGUGUCGAGUUGGCCCACGAACUUAAUCUAAGAACGUGGGUACCCAUGUUCCUAACAGGUUAAGUUCGACGGUUUUGGCUAGGGCCCACGAACUUAAUUUAAGAAUGUGGGUACUCACGUUCUUAAAAAACCCCAUGAACUUAACUAAUAUAAGAACGUUGGUACCCACGUUCUUAACAAAACCCACGAACAUUUAUCAGUUUCUUGUAGUGUAUGGUUUCUAAAAAACUUCGGCAUUACUUCCAGACGUACCGUAUCAUAGUACCUUCUUCACAACCUCUCAAGGAUAUAAUGAGAAAUAGAGAAGCCAUAAGAAGAGUUGGAAAAUGGGCUGCAGAGUUGAAUGAAUUCACUAUUGAUUACGUUCAUAGAUCUUUGAUCCAAUCCCAAGCGUUAGCAGACUUCAUUGCUGAUUGGACGCCAAGGGCUCAGAACGAAGAGAGAACAAACGAUGCUGAAGCUUAGACAAUAUUUUGUGAUGGGUCAUGGGGAACCUUCGGCGCAGGAGCACCUGCUGUUUUAAUUUCACCGUCUAAAAUCAAAACCUGCUAUGCAGCAAGGUUGGACUUCAACUGCACAAAUAACAUUGUAGAGUACGAGACCCUUCUCUUGGGGCUUCAAAAAUUUAAGGCAAUGGGAAUAAGAAGGGCAAUACUCAAAUCUGACUCACAAGUCAUUUCGGGUCACGUUGACAAAAGUAGUAAAGCAAGGGACCCGAAGCUCAAGAAGUAUCUGGACACAGUCCGAAGGAUGGAAGCCUCUUUCGAAGGUUUCUCUGUAAAAACCAUCCUAAGAGGGGAAAAUGAACAUGCAAGCUUAUUAGCUAAGUCAACGGCACAUGGGCUUCCGUUACCUUUGGAGGUAUUUUUCGAAACAAUAAAAACACCUUCAAUCGAGCUCAUGGAGAGAGCAGUGCUUACAAUCUCGCCAGUGCACAACGAAGAUUGGAGGACUGAGAUUGUAUCUUUCCUCCAAGGCAAUUGUCUUUCGGAUGACAAAGCUUACAACAAAAGAAUGGAAGCAAGAACAAGACCCUAUGUAAUCAUAGAGGGAGAGUUGUAUAAACAAGGAGUCCGCUCUCAAUUACUAAAAUGUUUGUCUAGAACCGAAGGUCAAGAGCUGAUGAAGGAGAUACAUGCAGAACUAUGUGGAGCUCAUAUUGGGUCUAGGCCUUUACUGGGGAAGGUUUUUAGACAAGGAUUUUAUUGGCCGAAGGCAGCUUCAGAUGUAGCGGAUUUGGUUCAAAAAUGUGAAAACUGCCAGAAGUGUGCCAGAGACCAGAAACAACCUUCGUCUUUAACCCAACUAAUUCAGCCCACCUGGCCAUUGCAAAGGUGGGGCCUAGAUUUGCUAGGCCCACUUCCACCAGCACAAGGUAACAUGAAAUAUGUUGUGGUAGCAGUGGAGUACUUCUCGAAGUGGAUCGAAGCUAAGCCCUUAGCUACAAUAACUUCGGCCACAGUCCAGAAGUUCUUUUGGCAGAAUAUUGUUUGCCGCUUUGGUGUGCCGAAGGCCAUCACAGUUGAUAACGAAACUCAAUUUGAUGCCGAAAUGUUCAAAGCCUUUUGUGACCAGAUUGGUACAAAAAUACACUUUGCAUUAGUGAGACAUCCGGAAUCAAAUGGACUGGUAGAAAGAGCAAAUGGAAUCAUAAUAACAGGGAUAAUGAAGUCAAUCUUCAACCAGCCCAGAGGAAAAUGGUUAGACGAAUUAAUAAAGGUGGUGUGGAACCACAACACUAUUGUCUCAAGGUCAACGGGUUUUACCCCGUUCAAGCUUCUGUUCGGUGACGAAGCAAUAACACCGGAAGAAGCAAGAAGGGCCUUGUAGUGCGGACGGUCCGCAUGUGUUAACUCCUCUUGGUCAGAGCUCUAGUGCUCCAAGUUGCCAGGUCGCGGACGGUCCGACCAAGGUUGGCGGACUGUCCGGACCUCACUUUUCCGACAGCUCUGAUAGAUUUCAAACGGGAAAAAGUCGUUAUGUGUACGGCGGCCCGUCCGGCCUUAGGGCACGGACCGUCCGCAUGUGCGCAGAAAAUGUGCAAGUUGCACAUAACAGUUGGAUUUGAGUGGUGUGCUAUAAAUAGAAGGGGGGCUCGUGUGUGAGGGCUCUCUUGGCCAUUCCUUGCACACAUUGAGCUCACUUGUGAUCCUCCAACUCAUUCUCUCACACUCCUUGCUUGAGAUUGCAUUCUAGUGAGAGAUUGAGUGUUCCUAAUGCAUUUGCAUCCAUUGGUGAUUCUGGAGGCACUAGGUGGUACACCGAGCAAG
This 43827-nucleotide long non-coding RNA is filed under the name Zea mays. RNAcentral describes it as "long non-coding RNA (ZMAY_LNC001716)". The record is from RNAcentral. Lineage: Eukaryota; Viridiplantae; Streptophyta; Magnoliopsida; Poales; Poaceae.